AUUCCCAAAUAAGACUUAAUCCUGCCAUUAAUACCAUAUCUCAAAAUAGAUGAAGUUCCUAUAUAAUCCCUUUCCCUUACAGGCUCACUGUGAAACUAAGGGAUGAUUCUGUCUUGUCUCACUCAUCACCCGAGAGGGUUUUCUCCUUUUUCAAAAACAUGGGAUCAAACUUGGGCAAGAGCAAGUAUGUACCGCUCUCUGUGAAUUAAUUUAGGGCACCAGCUAGGAAGAAAUAUAGGUCAAGAGCAGUGUUUAUGAACACUUGUUCUUUCCACCCUCCUUUCUUCCUCUUCUCCACCGUAAUUUCAGGAACAUCAAAUUACACCAGAACAGGUCACACUGCAAUUCCUUGAGUCUUAUGAAGGUAAAUCACAACUGAAUAUUGCAAGAGGACAAGACAGAGUUUGCUAAUUAAUGCUAGCAUGUAUUACAUGUAAUUGUGACUGUGGUUUGAGGAACACUUCGUGCUAACAGAAUGCUAGCAAGACUAACUCCAUCUAAUUCAACUGAAUUAAACAGCGCUAGUUGAAAAACACUGGUUACUGUUAGAUUUGUUCCCAUACUAAAAAAGCGUUCAGAAUAUGUGACUGCUAUGGAUUUGUAUCACAGGGCUAGGAUCCUGUGCAAAGUUAUGUGAAAAACUGUUUACAAGGAGAUAUUUCACCCACAGACAAUAUCUUUCCAAAUUCAGUUGAAAAGGAAAGACAAGACGGUCGAGGGGGAGAGGCAAUAAAGACAGCAUAUUACUUAAGUGAUAAGGGAUUAGGACGUUUGAACUCAGGGAGAUCAUGAAGUUGACUCUAUUGAUGACCCCAAAUUUGCACCUUUAGGUGUUUGGGGGUUUUUUAAUAAAAUAUCAUCUGGUCACUUGUUCGUUGCAUAUUUAGACCUUGAUGCUAAAAACAGUAGGUGGUUAAAGUGUAUUUCCAAAAGCAGCCUUCCCCUGAAGUUUUGCAAUAAUAAACACACAGCACCUGUAUCUUCCAGCAAGACACUAAUCUAGUUUGGUUUCAAACUGGUUUCACAACUGGUUACACUGCAAGCUAUUUUAAAAACUUGCCUUGAAUUUUACAAAACACUGGACCAUUUAGCAAUGGAUGUAAAUACAUUGUUUCAUCACUAUUAGAUGGAAAAAUAGAAAAGUUAAUAAUUUGGGGUUUAAAUAUAACAGCUCCCAUGACAUCCAGUGGCUAUUACAAUGCCAGGAGAGAAGCUGGAGAUCUCCCUAGGUAUCUCUAUAGCCAGCUCAGAUUUCCUUCACUAGAUUUCAUCUCAGAUACGUAAAAGCUGGUAAAAGACUAUCUGCAGGUGAAAUGAGCAAUAAAUACAAUUCUUCAGCUUCUGUUGACUUUCAGAGCUUAACUAUCAACCCUAGCUUCUGGGCACUUUCCACAUCAUGCAGAACGCAUCAUGUGUCCUUGCGUGGGCUACUCCUUUGUCCUGACUGUCCCAACACAAAAAUUGAGUUAAAAGAAGAGAAUGAACCAGCCUUUCACUUCCAAGCAAGUCUUUUUCAGUGUAUCAUGAUAAACUUCAGAGUGCUAUGAAAAAAAAAGUACUAGGAAUGUUCUCUAAGGUCACUUAAUGUGAAGAUUUUAGCAGUAAUAACCUCAAUCUGCAAAUGAUAGGAAAUGCCCUGAAAGUACAGUUCAAAGAGGAUAUGGUUUCAGCGAAGUACUUAGUGGAAUCUGUGAAAUUGCAGGCCCUAAAAUCCACAGUCACCUCACAUUUACAGAGUUUUUCAAAAUGGAGAAACCAAGCAAGUGUUAAGCAUUGCUGAACAUACCCGAGUUAUUAAUUCACAUUAGCGUAGACAGUUGUUUCUACAAAUGUACACAUUGUGCACAGAGACAGUUUUAAAGAUCUCACUGUUUCCACUUGUUCUUCUUUUCAGAGGCAUUAAUAGAUAAUCAGGGUCCAGUUCCAGCCUUUACCCCGGUAAAGCCAUGAAACUUCAUCUCAAUGAGGACUUGCCAACUUCACUUCCAUCCCUUCAUCUCACAGCUGAAAUUUUCCCAGGUCACUUUGGCAUCUAUAAACUUCCACCUCAAACAGUUGUUCUGAGGGGAUCUGGAUGAAAACUGGUAUAUGUAUUAUUCUUCAUGUUUAAAAAAAAUUAUUGAACCUUUCCUAAUUUUGGUGGUUAAUGAUAGCUAUAGUUUUUAACUACACACAGAGCAAAUUCUUUUCCGAUCUGCCUGUCUGAACUCCAUCAGGAGAUCAAGUUAGAGAUGUAAUUGGGUUCACAGAGAUGUAAAUUUGGGUUCCUUACUUACCAAAGGAGAAGCCAAAAUAUAAUAAAAUGUAUGUAUAGCACUGUUAAAGAGAGUAACUACAUUGUUUGUGGCUAUUUCAAGGCAAUCAUGUAACCUGUAUGUUACAAAAACCUGUUGUACAUUUCAGAGUGAAAAGAUGUAAACCAAUGGAGGUCAUCAAAAUAGAGUUGCUUUUGCAAAUGUCUUAGGACCCAUCUAUGCAUUUCAAGGAAAGUCAGGACUCAGAUCUCAUAUAAAAUAUGAACUAGAACUUUGUAACACAUCUAUUAUGUCAUACAUUUGGAUUACAAAGCCACCAAAUCUCUCUUGGAAGAAUGCAGGAUGAGCCUUACAUUUUCCGUUACUUUUAUUUAGCUCCAUCAUGGAGGGUCUAAUGCAACUCUCACAGGAAGAGGUUUUCCAUUCAAAAGUGAGCUGUGAAUUCAGGAAAGGAUUUUAUAGAAAUCUGAAAUUGCACACAGACUAGUCCAACCCUGACAGGCAAAGGAGAAGUUAUGGCUCCAUUUGACAUCCAUCACUUAUUUCUCAGAACAGCUACAGGAACAGCACUUCCCAAUAACUUCUGACAAUUUGCAUAGAUAAUUAACUUGCACAGAUUCAAAACCUGCAUAAAUUCUUUUUCCUAUUCUGCUGUUCUUUUUCUGUGUUUUGAGAGUGGGGGAGAGGUCUGGGUACAUUUUUUCCCCUUCAUCAUGCAGUUCUUCACCUAAACCUCCCUUUGCCCCCAUUAUAAUAAAGAGCCUGAGCCUGCUUACGAGCAGAUACAAGGAUGAACGAUGCAGCUUUUGCCACAAAGACUGUAUUUUACCAGCAGGUUACUAGGUAAAGGAUUGAGUGGUUUAGCUGAAAUUAAGAGUCUUGUAAAGGAAAUCAGUGCAGUGGUUAACCUUAAAACUGCAUUCAUGGAUGUACUCUUUUAACAACUGCAGCAAUGAAAUGAUAAACAUGACCCAAAUCCUGGCCCUUACUGGGGGAGGGGGAAAUGGAGAAAAAAAAAAAAAAAAAAGAUGUACUUCUUGUUUAUCUGAGCCCUUCACACAGAAGGAAACAGGCUUGGAUGCUUCAGCCAGGACUCUGCAUUUCCAAGCGGAGGGGCUGUAAUCCAUCUGCCUCCCGAGUUUCAGCUGAGUUUCAGAUGACGGCAGCCAAUUUAAAUGUCACUGUUUAAUAGGAUAACGCAUUCGCGGGAAUCAGCUUUGCCGCCUUCCUCCCACGACGUCUUCAUCUCUCCAGGCAAAAAUCUCGGGUUUCCCUUGCCUGAUCCUUUCAGUGUCAGCUCCAUGUUACCGGAACACACAUACAGCUGUUUUCCCUAUCACAGCUGCAUCUCCGGCAGCAGCUCUGGGGCUUGAGGACUGCAGAGGGCAGUGAAAGGGGAUGUUCAACUUCACAACAAAAAUGAAGCUAUUAAAACUGUAUUCUGGAGGACUACAAAUCCUAACAGGGAAGGGGGUAAACUUAGUUCACCAUGCGUAUCUCCAGGGCUGGGCUGCUGUUUUCCUGGGAGCGAGCACACUGAGCCAGGCAAAGCAUGGCUCUCCCCUGACUGCUCUUUAAAACUGGGUUUAAAAGUAAAACCAGGGGCUCUGGACCAAGAGAUAGCAAAACAUGGCACGGCCACCUAAAGAGGAGCUUGGCAGUGAUAUGGGUCUGUGCUUCACGCCAUCUCACCAAGUUCAGGGCCAGAAACAGCCUAGCCUUGACCUCUCAGCCUGAAAUCUCCCAAGCAGCUACCCAAAGCCUAUUUUUAGCCCUCCCUGCCUGAUGUGUGUGUGUGUGUGUUUGCACAAUGGAGAAAAGCCCAAGAGCGGGACCAGACGGCCCUGAAAAGGGAAAUCUGAUUUUAUCGUCUGCUGAGGAUGCCGGUGACAUGAUUUCCUUCGGCUGCAAGGAGGGUCUCCAAGCUGCUUAAGCAAACCGUAAAGCCACUAUACCGCAGCUUUCCUCCCGGCCAGUUUGGGCGCUCCCCUCCCUUUGUAGCAGCCGAAAGCCACGCACUUUCCCCGCACCCCACAAAGCAGGGUGGCAGCGGGGUACCCCAGCCCCGGCCUGCUUUGCUGCCGCGACGGGAGCAAUUCCCAGCCUGGCUACAGAAGAAGGGG
Long non-coding RNA from Athene cunicularia (burrowing owl), 4378 nucleotides. RefSeq lists it as uncharacterized. NCBI's taxonomy places the organism in Eukaryota, Metazoa, Chordata, Aves, Strigiformes, Strigidae. The record is from RefSeq and is a predicted model, not a curated record. The transcript has 2 exons.